ACGCGAUACUCACGCAAUUAAGCUGUAUUUUUUGUUGUUGUUGUUGUUGUUGUGUUGUCUAUCCGGCCUGAAUUUUCUGGGUCUUUGACGUAAACUACUUUGAAUUUUAUUUCAAUGGGACUUAUUUUGGAUUUGAAUUCUUUUCUGUUUACGCAUUUUACGAGGACCUUUUUUUGCGCCUGAAUUGCUUUAUGUCGAAAUACUCAUCGACUGGGAAGCUGGUGCUCGCCCUUGGUGCUAGUAAAUUUUAUGCGAAUAUUUAGUUUGCCGUCUUAUCAGUGCAGCUUUAUCGAAACUUAUUGUGUUUGUUUAAUUGAAUUUGGAUUGCGACGACGCCGACGACAAUUUCGCGUUUGAGUGAACUCUAAAAAGCUCUGCCGGAGCUCAUAGAUAAAUCCAUUGCGAAACUCUCAAGAGUGCCAAGCAGCUCCUAAGGAUGGGUGGAGUAUGUCUAAUUAUCCCCUUGCGAGCCAAAGGACCAUCCACAGGCUAAAGAGAAGGCAAUAUCUUACAAUGAUACGCUAAGUUGCUGACUGACUUAAAUAAAUAAAUAUAAAACAUACAACCACUAUAAAUAUAGAUUUAUGUAAAUAAGAUUAAAAAUUCAUUGUACAUAGUAACUGUUUGGCUUAUUACAUUAUGUUAAUUUAAA
This is a long non-coding RNA of Drosophila willistoni, 652 nucleotides long. RefSeq lists it as uncharacterized. The record is from RefSeq and is a predicted model, not a curated record. Lineage: Eukaryota; Metazoa; Arthropoda; Insecta; Diptera; Drosophilidae. The transcript is spliced from 3 exons.